Triticum aestivum (bread wheat) is the source of this 1829-nucleotide long non-coding RNA. RefSeq lists it as uncharacterized. The transcript has 5 exons. NCBI's taxonomy places the organism in Eukaryota, Viridiplantae, Streptophyta, Magnoliopsida, Poales, Poaceae. The record is from RefSeq and is a predicted model, not a curated record.
UUGACCUCUCGCACGUCUUGAGAAGAGUCUCCGUAGAUCUCUCAUCUUCUCCCGCCCGUAACAGAAACUUCCCAAAUUUUCUGCCGCGAGAAGCCCUAGAAGAAUCUCUUAAUCCAUAAUCGGCGGCGGCGCCUUCCAUUCCAAAUCUCCGCCUAGUGCAGGGGCAGGGUUGAUGGAUCCUCGAUGGACUGCAAAAGCCUAUGAGAUCCGCAUGAAGGUCAUCUGCACCAAUCCCUGCCACACCGACAUCAUCUUCUCGCAAGGCAAGGAUCUUCUUAGGACACGAGGCCUGUGGUUAAGUUUCUAGGAUUUUGUCGCUGAUGAGUACGUGAAGGCGGCCGGGGACAAAGGCAAAUGUAUAAGAUGUAACGAACACACACUCUGAAUUUGGGUGGUGCUGCGUGCAGGGUGGUGGUGAGCUUGCCGGAGCACCUAGAGGGGUCUACGGUGGGGGACACAGUGGGACCAACGUUCGUGUAGCAGUGCUACUCGUGCAGCAGCAGAGCGUUUGAGUGGAAGAAUGUGUGCACUAUGCUGUCAUUCGUCGUCGGCCCCGAGAUGCUCCGCGAUGGCACCAUCAAGUUCAGGGACAGCCAUGGGGCAUUUUGCUGCUCGUCUUCCUCUGUUUUGUGGUUUUUGUUUUUUGCGUUUCUGUUGAUUUAUGUAUAUUUUUAAGCGGAACUUAGUCAUAUUCCUACACUAGACUGAAGAUGCAGAAGUUAGAAGUUACAUGGAUACUAGAACCAAGGAGGAACAGUUAGAUACCUAGGCAAGUACGAGGAUAUUCUUUCUUACAUCGCCCAUCUUAUUUAGAAAUAUACUAGAAACUGAUUACACAAUCUUCAACUUUGCAGUGUCUAUUUUUCUCUUUGAAACAACACGGACUACUAUUGAAAAAGUUGCUUGCCAAUUAGGACCAUAAUCUUAUACUUGAAAUACUGAACCAUCUCCCUGGAGAAAAUUUAUUUGCUUGUCAUAUAUAUUGGCAGUACGAACGUGCAUCAAAUUCUCAGUAUCCGGAUUAACUUAGAAGGUUCAUAUUAAAAAAAACAUUUUAGGCUAGAGACCUUUGUUUGAGUAAUGAUGUUCUGAUGACUGGCAGCUCAGCUACUGCAUGAUUGUAACAGCAGAACUUAAAAUUUACUUCUCUGGUCCACCCAGGGUAUUAGCUGAGGCGACGGCUUGUCUAGGCAUAUUUGAUUUCAGUAUAUAUACAUUUGAAAUAAUGAUUCGUGGACUUCUAAGUUAGCAAUCCAUAUUAUAUAUGAAUAUGCAGGUUAAUUACAAAAUUUACCAAUCCGUACUAUGAAUCUGCAGGUUAAUUACAAAAUGUAUAUAUACUAAAUUGGAUUAUUAAUAGCAAUCCUAAAUAUUUUUAUUCUCUACCAUAUGCUUUCAUCUUUUUUCCCCACCUUAUUUGUACAAGAGAACACUUACGGGAGUACUGCAGGGGGCUAAUUUUUUUCAUCGGAGGAGAGGACUACAUAAUGAUAGCUAGCUGCACUCUUAUAAAAGUAAGAUGCAUUCAUUCUUCAUUGGUUAUAUGGUGCUGGGUUUGAGGGUGGCAGCCUCGGCUGGACAACAGAUGUAAGAUUGCGAAGAUAAACUAAUAUGCAUGGCUCGGGUGUGGAUUGCAAGGUCGAGAAUGAAGCUACUACUAGAUAGUUCCACAUGAUGUUUUAGAAUUUUUUUUGCAAGAUCAAUGCUUCAAACAUUAUGUUUUUACAAUGGCUGAGAUGUUAAUUGCAAGGUCGAGAAUUAGGUUGCUGCUACUAGAUAGUUCACAUCUUGUAAUCUUUGGAGUGCGUUCUUUGUAAUGCAACAGUCAA